This 930-nucleotide ribosomal RNA is filed under the name Aptostichus sp. SBA1. Its description in RNAcentral is "partial 16S ribosomal RNA". Lineage: Eukaryota; Metazoa; Arthropoda; Arachnida; Araneae; Euctenizidae. The record is from RNAcentral.
UGCUCUUAAUAGAUAAAUUAAUUCAACAUCGAGGUCAUAAUCUUUUUCUUUUAUAAGGACUUUAGGAAAAAAUUAUGCUGUUAUCCCUAUGGUAACUUGUGUAAUUUUAUUUAAAGUUUUUAGAUAAAGUUAUAAAGAUUUUAUUUUCUACCGCCCCAGUUCAACUAAAGUGAAGCUCAAUAGGGUCUUGUCGUCCUCCUAUUUUAUAAAAGUCUUUUUACUUUUAGGAAAAUUUCGAUAUAUUUGAAUAAUAAAGAUAUUUAUAUGUUAAACCAUUCAUUCUAGCCUUUAAUUAAAAGGCAAAUGAUUAUGCUACCUUAGGACAUUUAAAUUGCCGCAAUUUAAUUGUCAUUGAGCAGGUCUUACUAAAUAUAAUUACAUUUAGAAAUGUUUUUGAUAAACAGUCAAUAAAUAAGGGCCUAGUUCAUAAGACAAAGAUAAAUUUAUAGUUGUAGAAGUUUUUAAUUAAAGUAUAAAAAUAAAUUAUUUACUAAUAAAAUCAUUUUUAAAAUUGAAUUUAGUUUUCAUAUUAGUAUUAAAUUAAGGUCUAGGAAUUAGUUGUUACACUUUUAGACACUAUUAAUCUUUUAUAUUUAAGAAAUUGUGGGAGAAUUUAUUUUAAAAGCUUAACCUUCAAAAAAUUUAAGUACUAAUACUUUUUGAAAAAACCAGAUAUAAUAUAAUUCGCGGGGGAUUUCACCUCUACAGAUAUUUACUUUUUAUUAUGCAAUAUAAAAUUGAAAAUUAAUGUAGAUCAUUUUAUUUCGGGAAAUUUCAAUUGUUAAAUAUUUUUGAUUUACCCUGAUACAAAAGGUACAUAGAUUUUCUUUAAAAAAAAUUUUUUGAGAAGUUCCCUGACGGUUAGAAAAGUUAAAGAAAUUUAGGUUUAUAGUGAAUUAUUUAUUUAAUUAAUUUUGUAAUAUAAAUUUA